CCCUGCCCUGAAGGCUUCUAGCAGCGCAGGGAACUUGGGAGUACUCAUUCCUGUAAUAGCUGUGCUCACCCGACGACUGCCGCCCAUCAAAGAAGCUAAGCCUCGGUUACAGAAGCUCUUCCGAGACUUCUGGCUGUAUUCUGUUCUGAUGGGAUUCGCUGUGGAGGGCUCAGGACUCUGGCCAGAAGAAUGGUACGAGGGGGUCUGUGAAAUAGCCACUAAGUCCCCCUUGCUCACCUUUCCCAGCAAGGAGCCACUGAGGUCCGUCCUCCAGUAUAACUCAGCCAUGAAGAAUGACACGGUCACCCCCGCUGAGCUGAGUGAGCUCCGCAGCACCAUCAUCAACCUGCUGGACCCCCCUCCCGAGGUGUCCGCACUCAUCAACAAGCUGGACUUCGCCAUGUCCACCUACCUCCUCUCUGUGUACCGGCUGGAGUACAUGAGGUACACGUGCCUUCACCACCACACACAUGCACAUCCACAUUUGAGCAGGGUUUUCAUUUUUGUGCCCUGGUAAGCAUGAGACUUUUUCAACUUCUCCCAAGACAUGCAAACUUUCUGUAAAAUCAAGCAAAAACACCCUCUACUUUUCUCGUAUGCCCCUCCUUCAUGACCACCAGACGCCACGUCUAGUAACACCUCCCA
RNAcentral lists this small RNA (645 nucleotides) under Pongo abelii (Sumatran orangutan). Its description in RNAcentral is "retained intron". Lineage: Eukaryota; Metazoa; Chordata; Mammalia; Primates; Hominidae. The record is from RNAcentral.